Araneus ventricosus is the source of this 76-nucleotide non-coding RNA. The record is from the annotation of a GenBank genome assembly. NCBI's taxonomy places the organism in Eukaryota, Metazoa, Arthropoda, Arachnida, Araneae, Araneidae.
CUUCGGGGGCCUAGUGGUAAGGUAUUGGCUUCGGGGGCCAGAAGGUUCCAGGUUCGAAACCCGAUUCCACUGAAGA